ACGUACACUCCUGCGGGAGGCAGCAGUGGGGAAUUUUGGACAAUGGGCGAAAGCCUGAUCCAGCCAUGCCGCGUGCAGGAUGAAGGCCUUCGGGUUGUAAACUGCUUUUGUACGGAACGAAACGGCCUUUUCUAAUAAAGAGGGCUAAUGACGGUACCGUAAGAAUAAGCACCGGCUAACUACGUGCCAGCAGCCGCGGUAAUACGUAGGGUGCAAGCGUUAAUCGGAAUUACUGGGCGUAAAGCGUGCGCAGGCGGUUAUGUAAGACAGUUGUGAAAUCCCCGGGCUCAACCUGGGAACUGCAUCUGUGACUGCAUAGCUAGAGUACGGUAGAGGGGGAUGGAAUUCCGCGUGUAGCAGUGAAAUGCGUAGAUAUGCGGAGGAACACCGAUGGCGAAGGCAAUCCCCUGGACCUGUACUGACGCUCAUGCACGAAAGCGUGGGGAGCAAACAGGAUUAGAAACCCUUGUAGUCCCAUGA
Molecule: ribosomal RNA, 480 nt
Filed under: uncultured organism
Description: partial 16S ribosomal RNA
Rfam family: Bacterial small subunit ribosomal RNA
Source: RNAcentral